UGAAAAGGAAGAGAUAGUUGCCAGUUCAGUUAUUAGUCCUACUCCAACUUCCCACGAUCGAAACCAAAGAACAGUUUGACGAUUUCCACGACGAAACCAAAGAGCAGUUCACCGAUUCCCAUGAUCUGAGUUUAGUUGAAGGUUCAACAACAACUGCCCACAUACCACCGCUAUAUACAGAUGAAUAUUCGAAAAGAGCCCAAUUUUCGAAACCAGACUUCGGGACGUCGUCUUGGAGCCCAUCCUCUUCACACCUUCGAUCCCGGACGCCCACUUUCAAGAGCCCAAUCUCCUGGCUGUUGCUCAUCUUCCCUUCUCUCUUCCGAUCGCCAUAUUUAAGUAAGUUUUCCAUUUUGUACAAAUCUCUAACCCCAACUUUCCUUUCCAUUUAGCUUUCGAUUUCAACCUUUGAUUCAAGAUUUUUUCCAAUUGCAGUUUUUUUAUUUGGUCCCAUCAUCUGCACACUUUUUUUUUUUUUUUUUUUUUUCCAUCUUUCCUUAUGUGUCCUUAGUAGCUUCCAUCACUCUUGCUCUCUCAAAGAUUGCAUUGAGGCAGAACACGUACUCACUCAAAGACAAUCUGAUUGAGACAGCAAGACUGAAACUCGAAGACGAACAAGCAGAGGAGGAGGUCGGUGAAGAAAAGAGAAGCAAAAGUAAAAGGAAAAAAACACCUAUUCGUCGGAGAUCGAAGAAAAGGAAAGGUGGGAAAGUCCAUUCUUGCCGUAGAGCUCAUGUUGGCAGUGAACCUUGAAGAAAACGAAAGG
This is a long non-coding RNA of Pyrus x bretschneideri (Chinese white pear), 766 nucleotides long. RefSeq lists it as uncharacterized. The transcript has 3 exons. Lineage: Eukaryota; Viridiplantae; Streptophyta; Magnoliopsida; Rosales; Rosaceae. The record is from RefSeq and is a predicted model, not a curated record.